RNAcentral lists this long non-coding RNA (228 nucleotides) under Capsicum annuum. RNAcentral's name for it is "long non-coding RNA (CANN_LNC018120)". Lineage: Eukaryota; Viridiplantae; Streptophyta; Magnoliopsida; Solanales; Solanaceae. The record is from RNAcentral.
CUUUAUUGAACUACCGAUUUGGUGGUAUCCCAUGAUUUGCUUAUUUUUUUCAAUUAUGUCCUUUUUUAAUAUUAUAUAAUCCUAUUUUAUCCUUUACCUUAUAUUAUUUAACUCCACCUCCUCCCCCUUUCCCCCACUCCAUCCCGUCCAAAAAAAUUAUUGUUUAAAUUUAUUUUUAAAUAAAUUGAAACUUUUUUCUAAUCAUACCCCCUACUCUGACUCCGGCCC